AGAAACAGCCGUAUCACCCUGCAGCCCAAGACCGGUUACUCACUGUAGCUAAGCUGGGCUGAGCCUAGUCAGUACCUGGAUGGGAGACCAUAUGGGAAAGCUAGGUUGCUGUUGGAA
This is a non-coding RNA of Danio rerio (zebrafish), 117 nucleotides long. The record is from Rfam. Lineage: Eukaryota; Metazoa; Chordata; Actinopteri; Cypriniformes; Danionidae.